AGCGGAGGUGGCUAUAGCACUAAAAAAAUAACCGAGGUGUCGUAGGUUCAAGUCCUAUUUCCGCUACCA
This 69-nucleotide transfer RNA is filed under the name Solirubrobacterales bacterium. RNAcentral describes it as "tRNA-OTHER". The record is from RNAcentral. Lineage: Bacteria; Bacillati; Actinomycetota; Thermoleophilia; Solirubrobacterales. RNAcentral also lists the same sequence under 1 other name.